UAUGGGCAACUGGGCAACUUUUCCUUUGGACAGGUUUUGAUAAAUCUCCCCCAUAGUAUAUCUACACAAAGAAGAACAAGAAAGCUGUUUGCUUCAUAAUGGAGUGCCUAAAUAUGACGCUGGCGAUGAAGCGGAGAUUCAGAAAUAGAUAAGAUUCCGCACAAAAGUCCCCCUGUGUGAACAAGGCCUUAGAUGUCCUUCCAGAUGGGCAUCUGUACAACAAGUGCUGGCAGGGCAUAAUGAGACCCGUAGGUUUGACUGGCAACUACUUUCAUGAAACCGAAAAGAUAAAGAAGCAAGAUGGAUUCCCCUGGGUUUGUUGUAUGGCGGCCAUGAGCGUCCAGACAAUGAGGAGUUUACAGACCACUAUCUGGAGUAAAAACCACACACACAGCAUCAUUACAAACAUCGCAAAUGACAUUCCAGAGAGCACCAAAUCUGAAGAGUUUUUUAGCUCCCAGCCAACUGCGACAACGUUGGAAUACUAUCAAUAAUGUAGAUUUUUUUUAACCAAACCUGGGAGCUACAAUUGCAACAGAAAAAAUUGAAUGUGUUGCACAGAAAUUACCUACGGCCAGACAACCAUAACUUCCCAAAAAAAACCCUGGUAAAAUCUUCAACAUAAAAACCUGACUUACAUGUCAAUCUGAUUAUGUCAUAUAUGUGCUCCAAUGUUCCCUCCAGAAUGUAGGGCGUACAACAGAGUCCCUACAUAGUAGAUUGAAUAAACAUUGCUACAAUAUUCGCAAUAAAUUCCAAUUACAUGGAUUCUCUAGGCAUUGCUCCCAAUUUCAUCCAGAUAUUGAACAUCCUGUCCGAAUCACACCUUUGGAAAGAAUUCCGAAUGAUCUCUCAAACAGAUUUGAACUUAAACGGAAAGAGGUAUACUGGAUAUACUGUAUGGGAACUCUUGUUCCAGAUGGGCUCAAGACCAGCGCCUUUAUUCAGAGGAGCAAAUUUUUACAUUUCCAUAUUGUGCCCCUACCGGAUAGACUGACGUCAUUCCAGGAAGUUCCUUGUGGCAGCGGUCCGGCUACUUUCUCUCCAGACGCCACCUAACGGUUAAAUGCAUGGGUACACUAACCUAUCAGGAGGGAAGAAUAGUCCUGGAGGGCUGACUUAGACAAUGGAAGGUUUAAGAAUAGUGCAAGGGUCCAAAUCUAGGAGGACAAAUAAUACAGAAUUGGCAACCAGGAGUUGUCAGUCCGAGGUUCAGUAGCCAGGAGGGCUUCUGAAGGGUUUUGUGCCUAAAUUCUAUAGCACGGAACGUGCAACAGAAUGUACGACAAACAGAAAAAAAAACAGACAGAAUCUGAAUCACUCUGAGUGAAAAAGAAAACCUACAAAAUGGGCAUUGUUUUCGGGAAAAGGGGCGUGUUCCCUACAU
Long non-coding RNA from Hyla sarda, 1387 nucleotides. RefSeq lists it as uncharacterized. NCBI's taxonomy places the organism in Eukaryota, Metazoa, Chordata, Amphibia, Anura, Hylidae. The record is from RefSeq and is a predicted model, not a curated record. The transcript has 5 exons.